CCUACGGGCGGCUGCAGUCGAGAAUCUUCGGCAAUGCGCGCAAGCGUGACCGAGCGACGCCGCGUGCGGGAUGAAGGCCUUCGGGUUGUAAACCGCUGUCGGGGGGGAUGAAAUGCACGGGGGCAAUCCCCUGUGUUUGACAGAGCCCCGGAGGAAGCGCGGGCUAAGUUCGUGCCAGCAGCCGCGGUAAUACGAACUGCGCGAACGUUAUUCGGAUUCACUGGGCUUAAAGGGUGCGUAGGCGGUCUGUUAAGCGGGGUGUGAAAUUUUUCGGCUCAACCGGAAAAGUGCAUUCUGUACUGGCAGACUGGAGUCGGUCAGGGGUGUGUGGAACUGCCAGUGGAGCGGUGAAAUGUGUUGAUAUUGGCAGGAACGCCGGUGGCGAAAGCGACACACUGGGGCCGUACUGACGCUGAGGCACGAAAGCCAGGGGAGCAAACGGGAUUAGAUACCCCGGUAGUC
RNAcentral lists this ribosomal RNA (462 nucleotides) under uncultured bacterium. Its description in RNAcentral is "bacterial SSU rRNA". It matches the Rfam family "Bacterial small subunit ribosomal RNA", at positions 338 to 795 of the family's 1533-position model. The record is from RNAcentral.